Molecule: ribosomal RNA, 458 nt
Filed under: uncultured bacterium
Lineage: Bacteria
Description: bacterial SSU rRNA
Rfam family: Bacterial small subunit ribosomal RNA
Source: RNAcentral
UACGGAAGGCAGCAGUGGGGAAUAUUGCACAAUGGGCGAAAGCCUGAUGCAGCUAUGCCGCGUGUAUGAAGAAGGCCUUAGGGUUGUAAAGUACUUUCAUCGGGGAGGAAAAAACAAAACUAAUAAUUUUAUUUCUUGACGUUACCCGAAAAAGAAGCACCGGCUAACUCCGUGCCAGCAGCCGCGGUAAUACGGAGGGUGCUAGCGUUAAUCAGAAUUACUGGGCGUAAAGAGCACGUAGGUGGUUUUUUUAAAGUCAGAUGUGAAAUCCCUGGGCUUAACCUGGAAACUGCAUUUUGAAACUGAAAUACUAGAGUAUCGUAGAGGGAGGUAGAAUUCUAGGUGUAGCGGUGAAAUGCGUAGAUAUCUGGAGGAAUACCUGUGGCGAAAGCGGCCUCCUAAACGAAUACUGACACUGAGGUGCGAAAAGCGUGGGGAGCAAACAGGGAUUAGAUACC